GUUCCCUGGUUGAUCCUGCCAGUAGUCAUAUGCUUGUCUCAAAGAUUAAGCCAUGCAUGUCUCAGUACGAGCCGCUUUAGGGCGAAACCGCGAAUGGCUCAUUAAAUCAGUUAUGGUUCCUUGGACGAUGCACGGUUACUUGGAUAACUGUGGCAAUUCUAGAGCUAAUACAUGCGAAAGUGUCCCGACCGGCCAACGGGAGGGACGCGCUUAUUAGACCAAAACCAAUCGGUCCGGCGGACCGGGCUUAGCCCCGGCCGUCGCCGCUUGCAAUCUUGGUGACUCUGAAUAAACGGUUGAGCGGAUCGCACGGCCUCUGCGCCGGCGACGUGUCUUUCAAAUGUCUGCCUUAUCAACUGUCGACGGUAGGUUCUGCGCCUACCAUGGUCGUAACGGGUGACGGGGAAUCAGGGUUCGAUUCCGGAGAGGGAGCCUGAGAAACGGCUACCACAUCCAAGGAAGGCAGCAGGCGCGCAAAUUACCCACUCCCGGCACGGGGAGGUAGUGACGAAAAAUAACGAUACGGGACUCAUCCGAGGCCCCGUAAUCGGAAUGAGAACACUUUAAAUCCUUUAACGAGUAUCCAUUGGAGGGCAAGUCUGGUGCCAGCAGCUGCGGUAAUUCCAGCUCCAAUAGCGUAUAUUAAAGUUGUUGCGGUUAAAAAGCUCGUAGUCGGACCUGUGUCCCGCUGUGCCGGUUCACCGCCCGUCGGUGUCCAACUGGCAUGCACGCGCGGACGUCCUGACGGUGGCUGCGGUUCGACCCCUUUCUUUCCCCUCGGCGUUUCGGCCUCGGAGGUCGGGCCGGCGUUUCAUCGCGCCGGUCGCUCCGAGCCGCGUCGUCCGGGAAGGAUCGCUGGGAAGGCCCGGCCUGGACUGGUCCAACCUCUCGAGGUGCUCUUGACCGAGUGUCUCGGGUGGCCGUCACGUUUACUUUGAACAAAUUAGAGUGCUCAAAGCAGGCAUCAAAGUUCGCCUGGAUAUCAGUGCAUGGAAUAAUGGAAGAGGACCUCGGUUCUAUUUUGUUGGUUUUCGGAAUGCCCGAGGUAAUGAUCAAUAGGGACAGCCGGGGGCAUUCGUAUUGCGACGUUAGAGGUGAAAUUCUUGGAUCGUCGCAAGACGGACGGAAGCGAAAGCAUUUGCCAAGCAUGUUUUCACUGAUCAAGAACGAAAGUCAGAGGUUCGAAGGCGAUCAGAUACCGCCCUAGUUCUGACCAUAAACGAUGCCAGCCAGCAAUCCGCCGAAGUUCCUCCGAUGACUCGGCGGGCGGCUUCCGGGAAACCAAAGCUUUCGGGUUCCGGGGGAAGUAUGGUUGCAAAGCUGAAACUUAAAGGAAUUGACGGAAGGGCACCACCAGGAGUGGAGCCUGCGGCUUAAUUUGACUCAACACGGGAAAACUCACCAAGCCCUGACACCGGAAGGAUUGACAGAUUGAGAGCUCUUUCUUGAUUCGGUGGGUGGUGGUGCAUGGCCGUUCUUAGUUCGUGGGGCGACUUGUCUGGUUAAUUCCGUUAACGAACGAGACUCCAACCUGCUUACUAGUCGGGUUUUUACCGGCAUCCUUCGCGCUGCCGGCGAGUAUGAAAUCUUCUUAGAGGGACAAGCGGCGUAGAGCCGCGCCAAGAGGAGCAAUAACAGGUCUGUGAUGCCCUUAGAUGUCUUGGGCCGCACGCGCGCUACACUGAAGGAAUCAGCGUGUGCUCCUCGGCCGAGAGGUCCGGGUAACCCGCUGAAACUCCUUCGUGAUUGGGAUUGGGGCUUGCAAUUGUUCCCCAUGAACGAGGAAUUCCCAGUAAGCGCGAGUCAUAAGCUCGCGCUGAUUAAGUCCCUGCCCUUUGUACACACCGCCCGUCGCUACUACCGAUUGAAUGGUUUAGUGAGGCCUUCGGACCUGCGGGACGGGCUCUGCCUCGCGGCUAGUCGCGGUUCCGCCGGAAAGAUGUCCGAACUUGAUCAUUUAGAGGAAGUAAAAGUCGUAACAAGGUUGCCGUAGGUGAACCUGCGGCAGGACCAUUA
This 2016-nucleotide ribosomal RNA is filed under the name Margattea nimbata. RNAcentral describes it as "SSU rRNA". It matches the Rfam family "Eukaryotic small subunit ribosomal RNA". The record is from RNAcentral. Lineage: Eukaryota; Metazoa; Arthropoda; Insecta; Blattodea; Pseudophyllodromiidae.